RNAcentral lists this ribosomal RNA (424 nucleotides) under uncultured bacterium. Its description in RNAcentral is "bacterial SSU rRNA". It matches the Rfam family "Bacterial small subunit ribosomal RNA", at positions 354 to 776 of the family's 1533-position model. The record is from RNAcentral.
GUGAGGAAUAUUGGUCAAUGGCCGAAGGGCUGAACCAGCCAAGCCGCGUGAAGGAAUAAGGCCCUACGGGUCGUAAACUUCUUUAGUCAGGGAACAAAGGGAGCCACGCGUGGCUCUGUGAGUGUACCUGAAGAAUAAGCAUCGGCUAACUCCGUGCCAGCAGCCGCGGUAAUACGGAGGAUGCGAGCGUUAUCCGGAUUUAUUGGGUUUAAAGGGUGCGUAGGCGGUUUGUCAAGUCAGCGGUAAAAAUUCCGGGCUCAACCCGGUCUCGCCGUUGAAACUGGCGAACUCGAGAGGGAGAGAAGUAGGCGGAAUGCGCAGUGUAGCGGUGAAAUGCAUAGAUAUUGCGCAGAACUCCGAUUGCGAAGGCAGCCUACCGGCUCCUGUCUGACGCUGAGGCACGAAAGCGUGGGUAUCGAACAGG